Molecule: ribosomal RNA, 720 nt
Filed under: uncultured Chaetoceros
Lineage: Eukaryota; Bacillariophyta; Thalassiosirophyceae; Chaetocerotales; Chaetocerotaceae
Description: partial Bacterial large subunit ribosomal RNA
Rfam family: Bacterial large subunit ribosomal RNA
Source: RNAcentral
CGAAAUCUAUUUAGGUAGAGCGUCAGAUGAAUACUCCAGGGGGUAGAGCACUGAAUGGGCUAGGGGUCCUCACCGGAUUACCAAACCUUAUCAAACUCCGAAUACCUGGAAGUACUAUCUGGCAGACACACGGCGGGUGCUAACGUCCGUCGUGGAGAGGGAAACAACCCUGACCACCAAUUAAGGUCCCCAAAUAAUGGCUAAGUGUGAAAGGAUGUGGGAUUGCUCUGACAAUGAGGAGGUUGGCUUAGAAGCAGCCAUCCUUUAAAGAAAGCGUAACAGCUCACUCAUCAAGCGAUCCUGCGCCGAAAAUGUAACGGGGCUAAAGCCAUUUACCGAAAUUGUGGGCUUCUUUUAGAAGCGGUAGCGGAGCGUUCCGUAAGCCUGUGAAGGUGACCUGUGAGGGUUGCUGGAGGUAUCGGAAGUGAGAAUGUUGACAUGAGUAGCGACAAAGCGGGUGAGAGACCCGCUCGCCGAAAAUCCAAGGGUUCCUGCGUAAAGCUAAUCUGCGCAGGGUUAGCCGGCCCCUAAGGCGAGGCGGAAACGCGUAGCCGAUGGGAACCACGUUAAUAUUCGUGGGCCGAGGAGUGUGUGACGGAUUUCGAAAGUUGUCAUCCCUUAUUGGAUUGGGAUGGCGGCCUGGAAGUCCCAGGAAAUAGCCCUCCAUUAAGACCGUACCCUAAACCGACACAGGUGGAUAGGUAGAGAAUACCAAGGCGC